Molecule: ribosomal RNA, 253 nt
Filed under: uncultured bacterium
Lineage: Bacteria
Description: partial 16S ribosomal RNA
Rfam family: Bacterial small subunit ribosomal RNA
Source: RNAcentral
UACAGAGGUCCCAAGCGUUGUCCGGAAUCAUUGGGCGUAAAGCGCGCGUAGGCGGCCCUGUAAGUCCGUUGUGAAAGUCAAAGGCUCAACCUUUGAAAGCCGAUGGAUACUGCAGGGCUAGAGUCCGGAAGAGGCGAGUGGAAUUCCUGGUGUAGCGGUGGAAUGCGCAGAUAUCAGGAGGAACACCAAUAGCGAAGGCAGCUCGCUGGGACGGUACUGACGCUAAGGCGCGAAAGCGUGGGGAGCGAACAGG